AUUUGAUUUUAGAAUUUAAAAUUUGAUUUUAGAAUCUAAAAUUUAUGUUUGUGCAUGAGGAUUUUGGUUAUGAAAAAAAUCAUAAUUUAGGUCAUAUAAUAGGAUUGCAUCUAAGAUUUUUGAUUUGAGUCAUAUGGGUCUAAUUCGAUUAAGUAAUUGAUCAAACCGAGUCAAGUAUUGAUUAAGGUCAUAUCAAUUAAAUUAAAUGAUCAUACAAUUAUUGUUGAUCAAAUUGAUUGAGUCCCGUAUGUAGAAUCGAUUCAUCUAAAGACCUAAUUUGGCUCG
RNAcentral lists this long non-coding RNA (285 nucleotides) under Elaeis guineensis (African oil palm). RNAcentral's name for it is "long non-coding RNA (EGUI_LNC024755)". The record is from RNAcentral. Lineage: Eukaryota; Viridiplantae; Streptophyta; Magnoliopsida; Arecales; Arecaceae.